UGCUGUCAGGUGAAAUUGUGUCCCCC
RNAcentral lists this non-coding RNA (26 nucleotides) under Mus musculus (house mouse). Lineage: Eukaryota; Metazoa; Chordata; Mammalia; Rodentia; Muridae. The record is from RNAcentral.